CUUUCCGAGUGAGCUGUUGGUUUUUGGGCUGCAGGGGGUGCAAGAGCUCCAUUGAAGCCUGCGGGGCUUAGUGUCUCCGCAGGUCAGACCCCACAUUGAAAUAGGCCUUUACCACCGCAACAGAGGCCAGCUUCGUCCUGAAUCCAGUCCUGUAAGAGGGGAUCAAAUCAGCAUGCAUUUUGACAGUGUGCGAUACUACUCUAUGAUCAAUUUUACAGAUGUGAUGAAGUACCGAGGAUCAAGGAGGCAAUUGCAAAUUGCACAGAAGCCUAAACUAUGGUUUGGAGGAAUUCUUGGAGGGUGA
This 304-nucleotide long non-coding RNA is filed under the name Anas platyrhynchos platyrhynchos (common mallard). RNAcentral describes it as "lncRNA (ENSAPLG00000017060.1)". Lineage: Eukaryota; Metazoa; Chordata; Aves; Anseriformes; Anatidae. The record is from RNAcentral.